GCCAGACUCCUACGGGAGGCAGCAGUGGGGGACAUUGCACAAUGGGGGAAACCCUGAUGCAGCGACGCCGCGUGAGUGAAGAAGUAUUUCGGUAUGUAAAGCUCUAUCAGCAGGGAAGAAAAUGACGGUACCUGACUAAGAAGCCCCGGCUAACUACGUGCCAGCAGCCGCGGUAAUACGUAGGGGGCAAGCGUUAUCCGGAUUUACUGGGUGUAAAGGGAGCGUAGACGGUGAUGCAAGUCAGAAGUGAAAGCCCGCGGCUCAACUGCGGGACUGCUUUUGAAACUGUAUAACUAGAGUGCAGGAGAGGUAAGCGGAAUUCCUAGUGUAGCGGUGAAAUGCGUAGAUAUUAGGAGGAACACCAGUGGCGAAGGCGGCUUACUGGACUGUAACUGACGUUGAGGCUCGAAAGCGUGGGGAGCAAACAGGAUUAGAUACCCCCGUAA
This 446-nucleotide ribosomal RNA is filed under the name uncultured bacterium. RNAcentral's name for it is "bacterial SSU rRNA". It matches the Rfam family "Bacterial small subunit ribosomal RNA", at positions 330 to 793 of the family's 1533-position model. The record is from RNAcentral.